AUACAAUGCAUCUAUAGCUAGACAGAGAUCGAUUAAAGUUUCCGACAUCGGUUAUCCAUCGGAAGAAUUUAUAGGGUCAGGUGCACACCAAAUGGCUAAGUGUUAAUGUUUCUGCAUGCAGAAGUCACUUUAUGUUAGCUUAUAAAGCGCCAAAUGUCUUUGCAGCGGUAGCGAGGGGGGUUCAGGGCACGCGCAGGAUUGCUAUGGUGUGCUUCUGAAAACAGUGCCACCUGCGAUAACAAAUGUAAAACCAAUCUGACAGCUAAUCAGUGUUCAAAAUUCAUCAACA
Ricinus communis (castor bean) is the source of this 289-nucleotide long non-coding RNA. RefSeq lists it as uncharacterized. Lineage: Eukaryota; Viridiplantae; Streptophyta; Magnoliopsida; Malpighiales; Euphorbiaceae. The record is from RefSeq and is a predicted model, not a curated record. The transcript is spliced from 2 exons.